Long non-coding RNA from Hyalella azteca, 232 nucleotides. RefSeq lists it as uncharacterized. The record is from RefSeq and is a predicted model, not a curated record. Lineage: Eukaryota; Metazoa; Arthropoda; Malacostraca; Amphipoda; Hyalellidae. The transcript has 2 exons.
UCCUAUCUACGUUGAAUAUAUUGCGUUCACCGUGAGCCAAUAUGGCGCACAUCGAGGCUAACGUGUACAAUCGUGAUCGGGGAAUUCAAUCCAAUGAAAAAGGGGACGCCAGUCGCCCCCAUGGUGUGAGAAUCCUUCAGUGGUGAAGCUGCAUUACCCAUCCGCAGAAGACCAGGCGAUGUCCUUCAUAAUUGCUCUGUAUAUUUAUUCCAAUAUAAACGGUAUAAAUUUU